UCAUAUGUACAUGCCUAAAAUGUUAAUGCAUUGGAUCCCAUUAGAAAUCCAUAGUUAAGUGUGCUUGGGCUUGGGCAGUAAUGGGAUGGGUGAACUCCAGGGAAGUCCUAGUGUUUUACAUGCC
Picea glauca (white spruce) is the source of this 124-nucleotide non-coding RNA. NCBI's taxonomy places the organism in Eukaryota, Viridiplantae, Streptophyta, Pinopsida, Pinales, Pinaceae. The record is from Rfam.